RNAcentral lists this ribosomal RNA (302 nucleotides) under uncultured soil bacterium. RNAcentral describes it as "bacterial SSU rRNA". It matches the Rfam family "Bacterial small subunit ribosomal RNA", at positions 26 to 363 of the family's 1533-position model. The record is from RNAcentral.
AGAACGAACGCUGGCGGCAGGCUUAACACAUGCAAGUCGAACGCACCGCAAGGUGAGUGGCAGACGGGUGAGUAACGCGUGGGAAUCUACCUAGCUCUUCGGAAUAGCUCCGGGAAACUGGAAUUAAUACCGAGUACGCCCUACGGGGGAAAGAUUUAUCGGAGUUAGAUGAGCCCGCGUUGGAUUAGCUAGUUGGUGGGUAAUGGCCUACCAAGGCGACGAUCCAUAGCUGGUCUGAGAGGAUGAUCAGCCACACUGGGACUGAGACACGGCCAGACUCCACGGGAGCAGCAGUGGGAAUA